UACGUAGGGGGCGAGCGUUGUCCGGAAUUAUUGGGCGUAAAGAGCGUGUAGGCUGUUCGGUAAGUCUGCCGUGAAAACCUGAGGCUCAACCUCGGGCGUGCGGUGGAUACUGCCGGGCUAGAGGACGGUAGAGGCGAGUGGAAUUCCCGGUGUAGCGGUGAAAUGCGCAGAUAUCAGGAGGAACACCAAUAGCGAAGGCAGCUCGCUGGGACGGUACUGACGCUAAGGCGCGAAAGCGUGGGGAGCGAACAGG
This 253-nucleotide ribosomal RNA is filed under the name uncultured bacterium. RNAcentral's name for it is "partial 16S ribosomal RNA". It matches the Rfam family "Bacterial small subunit ribosomal RNA", at positions 524 to 776 of the family's 1533-position model. The record is from RNAcentral.